UCUACGGGUGGCAGCAGUGAGGAAUAUUGGUCAAUGGGCGCGAGCCUGAACCAGCCAAGUAGCGUGAAGGAUGACUGCCCUACGGGUUGUAAACUUCUUUUAUAAAGGAAUAAAGUGAGGCACGUGUGCCUUUUUGUAUGUACUUUAUGAAUAAGGAUCGGCUAACUCCGUGCCAACAGCCGCGGUAAUACGGAGGAUCCGAGCGUUAUCCGGAUUUAUUGGGUUUAAAGGGAGCGGAGAUGGGUUGUUAAGUCAGUUGCGAAAGUUUGCGGCUCAACCGUAAAAUUGCAAUUGAUACUGGCAGUCUUGAGUACAGUUGAGGUAGGCGGAAUUCGUGGUGUAGCGGUGAAAUGCUUAGAUAUCACGAAGAACUCCGAUUGCGAAGGCAGCUUACUAAACUGCCACUGACAUUGAUGCUCGAAAGUGUGGGUAUCAAACAGGAUUAGAUACCCCAGUAGUC
RNAcentral lists this ribosomal RNA (460 nucleotides) under uncultured bacterium. RNAcentral describes it as "partial 16S ribosomal RNA". It matches the Rfam family "Bacterial small subunit ribosomal RNA", at positions 338 to 795 of the family's 1533-position model. The record is from RNAcentral.